This 314-nucleotide unclassified non-coding RNA is filed under the name plant metagenome. RNAcentral describes it as "partial contains 5.8S ribosomal RNA, internal transcribed spacer 2, and large subunit ribosomal RNA". The stretch from base 1 to 105 matches the Rfam family "5.8S ribosomal RNA", at positions 50 to 154 of the family's 154-position model. The record is from RNAcentral.
GAAAUGCGAUAAUUAAUGUGAAUUGCAGAAUUCAGUGAAUCAUCGAGUCUUUGAACGCACAUUGCGCCCCCUGGUAUUCCGGGGGGCAUGUCUGUCCGAGCGUCAUUGCUGCCCUCAAGCACGGCUUGUGUGUUGGGCUUCCGUCCCUGGCAACGGGGACGGGCCCAAAAGGCAGUGGCGGCACCAUGUCUGGUCCUCGAGCGUAUGGGGCUUUUUCACCCGCUCCCGUAGGUCCAGCUGGCAGCUAGCCUCGCAACCAAUCUUUUUAACCAGGUUGACCUCGGAUCAGGUAGGGAUACCCGCUGAACUUAAGC